CCAAUAGCGUAUAUUAAAGUUGUUGCAGUUAAAAAGCUCGUAGUUGAACUUCGGGGUCUACCCAUUGGUCAGGCUUAAUUGUCUGCACUGGUGAGAUGGAUCUCUACCUUCUGAGGAACUUUCAUGCCAUUUAUUUAGUGUGAUUGGAAAUCAGGACUGUUACUUUGAAAAAAUUAGAGUGUUUAAAGCAGACUAUCGUCUGAAUACAUUAGCAUGGCAUAAUGACAUAGGACGGACUGAUUCUAUUUCGUUGGUUUCUAGGAUCACCGUAAUGAUUAAUAGUGAUAGUUGGGGGCAUUAGUAUUCAAUUGUCAGAGGUGAAAUUCUUGGGUUUAUUGAAGACUAACUACUGCGAAAGCAUUUGCCAAGGAUGUUUUCAUUAAUCAAGAACGAAAGUUAGGGGAUCGAAGACGAUCAGAUACCGUCGUAGUCUUAACCAUAAACUAUGCCGACUAGGGAUCGGAUGAUGUUAAUUUUUUAAUGACUCAUUCGGCGCCUUACG
Molecule: ribosomal RNA, 502 nt
Filed under: uncultured Glomeromycotina
Lineage: Eukaryota; Fungi; Glomeromycota
Description: partial small subunit ribosomal RNA
Rfam family: Eukaryotic small subunit ribosomal RNA
Source: RNAcentral